CAGCUCAGUUCGGAUUGAAGGCUGAAAUUGCCUUCAUGAAGCCGGAAUUGCUAGUAAUGGCAGGUCAGCAUACUGCCGUGAAUACGUUCCCGGGCCUUGUACACACCGCCCGUCACACCAUGAGAGUUGGGGAUACCCGAAGCCUGUGAGCUAACAGUAAUGAAGCAGCAGUCGAAGGUAGAAUCAAUGAUUGGGGUGAAGUCGUAACAAGGUACC
This 216-nucleotide ribosomal RNA is filed under the name uncultured bacterium. RNAcentral describes it as "partial 16S ribosomal RNA". It matches the Rfam family "Bacterial small subunit ribosomal RNA", at positions 1284 to 1500 of the family's 1533-position model. The record is from RNAcentral.